This 276-nucleotide long non-coding RNA is filed under the name Cyanistes caeruleus (blue tit). RNAcentral's name for it is "lncRNA (ENSCCEG00000010000.1)". Lineage: Eukaryota; Metazoa; Chordata; Aves; Passeriformes; Paridae. The record is from RNAcentral.
CUUCUCGGGGUAACGCCGCCCCUCUGCCCGAGCUCCGGUGCGCUCCAGGUGCGGGCUGCGGCUCGAAGGAUGUUGAGAUCCGGCGGUGAAGGGUGUUCCAGAGAUGCCGCAUGCUGCGGGUGCUACGUGGAUCGCUAUGCCUUUGGAUGCGAACGGUCUGUCAUUGGUCUUGCCCGUACAAAGCAGGCUUCCCAAUGCCUGCAAAUAAGCUCUGGGGCAAAUCCUGUUCUUCGCCAUACAAUAGGAAAAGAAGAAAGUGACCUUUGGGUGUCUUGA